GACGAACGCUGGCGGCGUGCUUAACACAUGCAAGUCGAACGGAAGGGCCCUGCUUUUGUGGGGUGCUCGAGUGGCGAACGGGUGAGUAACACGUGAGUAACCUGCCCUUGACUUUGGGAUAACUUCAGGAAACUGGGGCUAAUACCGGAUAGGAGCUCCUGCUGCAUGGUGGGGGUUGGAAAGUUUCGGCGGUUGGGGAUGGACUCGCGGCUUAUCAGCUUGUUGGUGGGGUAGUGGCUUACCAAGGCUUUGACGGGUAGCCGGCCUGAGAGGGUGACCGGCCACUUUGGGACUGAGAUACGGCCCAGACUCCUACGGGAGGCAGCAGUGGGGAAUAUUGCACAAUGGGCGGAAGCCUGAUGCAGCAACGCCGCGUGCGGGAUGACGGCCUUCGGGUUGUAAACCGCUUUCGCCUGUGACGAAGCGUGAGUGACGGUAAUGGGUAAAGAAGCACCGGCUAACUACGUG
RNAcentral lists this ribosomal RNA (468 nucleotides) under uncultured bacterium. Its description in RNAcentral is "partial 16S ribosomal RNA". It matches the Rfam family "Bacterial small subunit ribosomal RNA", at positions 28 to 507 of the family's 1533-position model. The record is from RNAcentral.